Molecule: ribosomal RNA, 309 nt
Filed under: Triticum aestivum (bread wheat)
Lineage: Eukaryota; Viridiplantae; Streptophyta; Magnoliopsida; Poales; Poaceae
Description: partial small subunit ribosomal RNA
Source: RNAcentral
AUGAGAAAUUUACAUAUUCAGUUUGAUCUCCCUUGGCUAUGUGUGGGUGAUUUUAAUGAGAUUCUGUUUGCGGCUGAGAAGGAAGGAGGGCCGGCUCGGACCCAAGGCUGUAUGGAUGCGUUUCGGAGAACUCUGGAGGGGUGCGCGCUGGAUGAUCUAGGCUUUGUGGGUGAUCCGUUCACUUGGCUAGAGGGCUAUACGAGAGAAAGACUUCAUAGGGCAGUGGCCAACAUGGGAUGGAGAUGUUUGUUUCCACUACACCGAGUGAUCAAUGGGGAUCCGCGCCAUUCUGAUCAUCGUCCAAUCAUU